Molecule: ribosomal RNA, 483 nt
Filed under: uncultured bacterium
Lineage: Bacteria
Description: partial 16S ribosomal RNA
Rfam family: Bacterial small subunit ribosomal RNA
Source: RNAcentral
AUUGAACGCUGGCGGCAGGCCUAACACAUGCAAGUCGAGCGGAUGAAGGGAGCUUGCUCCUGGAUUCAGCGGCUGACGGGUGAGUAAUGCCUAGGAAUCUGCCUGGUAGUGGGGGAUAACGUCCGGAAACGGGCGCUAAUACCGCAUACGUCCUGAGGGAGAAAGUGGGGGAUCUUCGGACCUCACGCUAUCAGAUGAGCCUAGGUCGGAUUAGCUAGUUGGUGGGGUAAAGGCCUACCAAGGCGACGAUCCGUAACUGGUCUGAGAGGAUGAUCAGUCACACUGGAACUGAGACACGGUCCAGACUCCUACGGGAGGCAGCAGUGGGGAAUAUUGGACAAUGGGCGAAAGCCUGAUCCAGCCAUGCCGCGUGUGUGAAGAAGGUCUUCGGAUUGUAAAGCACUUUAAGUUGGGAGGAAGGGCAGUAAGUUAAUACCUUGCUGUUUUGACGUUACCAACAGAAUAAGCACCGGCUAACUUCGU